UGUGUGAGCAGUAAGGAGAAUUUGUAGGCUUUAAAAGGCCAUGCUGUAACAGGCAAGUGAUAAUAGGCUUCAUCCCUUUAAAUCCUGGUGUGGGAUGGGAUACUGGCAUUGAGCAGGGUAAGGGUGAUUAGGUUUUAAUGGAAUGGUAAGGGGUGCAUGGUCGGUUGCCAGAGAACAAGUAGAGGUAUCCCAUACUUGUGGAUUAAGGUGGGGAGACACAAAGGGAGGAUGUGAAAGAGGCCUUGAAUUGGGCAAAAGGACAGCAGUGAGGUGUGGCUGUAGCCCAGGAAUAACCAGGGAAGCAGAUAAUUUGUUAAAAUGUCUCAGCCUAAUAAGGGAACUGGGCAGGUGGGGAUAACUAAAAAAGUGCAUAAAAGCAUGUUGUCUAAGUUGGCACCAGAGUGGGGGAAUUUUAAGAGGUUCAGAAGCUUGGCCGUCAAUACCCACAACAGCUAUGGGGGCAAGGGAAACAGGCCCUUGAAAAGAAGGUAAUGUGGAGUGGGUAGCCUCCAUAUCAAUUAAAAAGGGGACGGACUUACCCUCCACUGUAAAAGUUACCCGAAGCUCGGCGUCCAUGAUGGUCCAGGGGGCUUUCCCAGGUGAUCGGGCAGCAUCAGUCUUCAGCCGCAAAGCCGAGAUCUGAGAAGCAGUCAGCCAGAGAGCUUUGAUCCAGAGCUCCAGGGGCCCUAGAAGUGGCUGUGAUAUUAGUUGGACAGUCCGAUUUCCAGUGGGGUCCCGCACAGGUGGGACACGGCUUAGGAAGAAUCCUGGGCUGUGGGCAUUUCUUGGUCUAGUGGCCAGUUUUGCGGCACUUGAAUCAAGGUCCAUGAGGAGGAUUUAAAGGAGUAGCUGGAGGCUGUGGUUUGGUUGUUCUGAAGUUUUUGUGUGCUGAAGGCAUGGCUGGGGUUUGUCUUACAGCAGGCGCAAGCAGUUGCAGCUCUGAAAUGCGUUGCCGCUUGGCUGCCUCUUUAUUGUUGAACACCUUGAAGGCGAGGUUGAUUAAUUCCUGUUGUGGGGUUUGAGGGCCAGAUUCCAAUUUUUGAAGCUUUUUUCUAAUGUCAGGAGCUGACUGGGUGAUAAAACACAUAUUGAGAAUAAGAUGGCCUUCUGGCCCUCGAGGGUCUAGGGCUGUAAAGCGUCUAAGGGUAGCCACCAAGCGGGCCAAGAACUGGGCUGGGUUUUCAUCUUUACCUUGAGUGGCUUCUUUAAGCUUGUCAUAACUAACAGCUUUGUAUGCUGCCUUUUUUAGCCCUUCAACUAGGCAAGAGACCAUGUAAUCUCACCUAGCUAUACCUGGGAAGCCUGUCUGGUAUUCCCUUUGGGGAUCAUCUCGGGGAACUGCCCUGAUGCCUUCUUGGAGGUCUGGCUCACGAUGCAAGCAGGUGUCAGUGUGAGAAUGGGCUAGGGUAUAAACUCUUUCCCGCUCAUCUGGGGAGACGGGAGAGGUCAGGAUGACAUUUAAAUCACUCCAGGUUAAAUUGUAGGACUGAGUCAAAUAUUGGAAUUCUUGUAUAUAUUUAGUGGGGUCUGAUGAGAAAGAGCCCAGAUGCUGACUGAUUUGGAAAAGGUCUGAUAGAGAAAAAGGUACAUGAACCCUUACUGUGCCCUCAGCUCCAGCCACCUCUCUAAGAGGAAACUGUUGGGCAGGUGGGAGGAGAGCUAGUCAUGGAAUGAAACUGUAAGCCAGACUGAGUGUGAGGAGGGGAGGUGAUAGAAGAAUUAUAAGGUGGGGGAGCAGAGGCUGAGGAGGAAUUGGGACUUGAUUCAGCCUGUCAAGGAGUGGCCUGGGGAGGGGGAGAGAGGUCAGAGGGGUCUGCAGAAAAGGAGGAUUCAGAAGACUCUGAGGUUGGGGUAGAGACUGAAGAAGCGGACAGGAGAGAAAGAAGAAGGAUUUGGGAUGAGCUGCAUUGGGAGCAGAGGCUAGGGAGGGAACGAAGUAUAAAAAAUGCCUGGACGUAAGGCACCUCAGACCAUUUGCCCAUUUUUCGACAAAAUUUAUCUAGGUCUUGUGGGAUGGAGAAAUCGAAAGUGCCGUUUUCUGGCCACUUGGAACCAUUGUCGAGCUUGUAUUGGGGCCAAGCGGAGUUGCAGAAGAAAAUAAGACUCUUAGGUUUUAGGUCAGGUGAGAGUUUAAGAGGUUUUAAGUUUUUAAGAACACAGGCUAAGGCGGAAGAAGGAGGAAUGGAGGGUGGAAGGUUGCCCAUAGGAAAAAGGUAAGUUCCAAGAAAAGAGGGGGUAGAGACUCGAAGAGAGGGGGGUGGUACUUGCCACCCAGGGGAGGUUGUACUUGCCACCAAGGUGGAGGAUCAAAGCAGGUGUCCCCGCAGUGAUUAAACACUUCUGGAAUGCGGGUGAAUAAUCAGGCAGGCGUCCCCGCAGUGAUUAGACACCAAGGAAAGACUGUCUUCCCGAGUCUGUGACCAGCUCCAGAGUUUGGAGUCCACAGAUAAAACGUGUCUUCUCUGUCUCUACCAGAAAGCAAAAGGAAAUGAAGGGAAGGGAGAGAUUGAAGGGUGACGUGGAAAUUGAAAGGAGAAAGAGGUUGAGGGAUAGCGACAGAGGUUAGAGAAGAGAAUAAAAAGAGGCCACUUACCCAAUUUAAAAUUGGUGAGGUGUUUUGUUUGGGCUGGUCUGAGGACCUGAGGUUGUAAGUGGAUUUUCUCAUGGAGCAAAGAGCAGGAGGACAGGCGAUUGAUCUCUGGAGGGAGGUCCCCCGAACCAAGUCAUGGCACCAAAUGUCAAGCGCCUCUGUGUGAAGAGACCACCUAACAGGCUUUGUGUGAGCAAUAAAGCUUUUUAAUCACCUGGGUGCAGGCGGACUGAGUCU
This 2827-nucleotide long non-coding RNA is filed under the name Homo sapiens (human). Its description in RNAcentral is "long non-coding RNA NONHSAT214114.1". Lineage: Eukaryota; Metazoa; Chordata; Mammalia; Primates; Hominidae. The record is from RNAcentral.